AAUACUCCUGACUGACCGAUAGUGAACCAGUACCGUGAGGGAAAGGCGAAAAGAACCCCGGCGAGGGGAGUGAAAAAGAACCUGAAACCGUGUACGUACAAGCAGUGGGAGCCCCACCACUAAGCCAGUGGUGAACUCCACAUCCGCAUCCUUUGCUGAGGAUACGGUUAACGGAGCGAAAGCGACGUUCAACCGCAAAACAAGCAGAGGGGGCUUAGUGGUGGGGUGACUGCGUACCUUUUGUAUAAUGGGUCAGCGACUUAUAUUCUGUAGCAAGGUUAACCGAAUAGGGGAGCCGGAGGGAAACCGAGUCUUAAUUGGGC
Molecule: ribosomal RNA, 323 nt
Filed under: Salmonella enterica subsp. enterica serovar Typhimurium
Lineage: Bacteria; Pseudomonadati; Pseudomonadota; Gammaproteobacteria; Enterobacterales; Enterobacteriaceae
Description: partial 23S ribosomal RNA
Rfam family: Bacterial large subunit ribosomal RNA
Source: RNAcentral